AGAUUGAACGCUGGCGGCAGGCCUAACACAUGCAAGUCGAACGGCAGCACAGUAAGAGCUUGCUCUUAUGGGUGGCGAGUGGCGGACGGGUGAGGAAUACAUCGGAAUCUGCCUAUUUGUGGGGGAUAACGUAGGGAAACUUACGCUAAUACCGCAUACGACCUACGGGUGAAAGCGGAGGACCUUCGGGCUUCGCGCAGAUAGAUGAGCCGAUGUCGGAUUAGCUAGUUGGUGGGGUAAAGGCCCACCAAGGCGACGAUCCGUAGCUGGUCUGAGAGGAUGAUCAGCCACACUGGAACUGAGACACGGUCCAGACUCCUAGGGAGCAGGCAGUGGGGAAUAGUUGGAACAAGUGGGCGCAAGCCUGAUCCAGCCAUGCCGCGUGAGUGAAGAGUCCUUGGUUGUAAGCUUCGUUUGUAGGGAAGAAAGCUAAGUACGGUUAAUACCCGGUUGUUACGU
Molecule: ribosomal RNA, 459 nt
Filed under: uncultured soil bacterium
Lineage: Bacteria
Description: bacterial SSU rRNA
Rfam family: Bacterial small subunit ribosomal RNA
Source: RNAcentral